UUAGGUUUAUAAACUGAUGAUUACAGAGCUCAGCUGUUUGUAACAUCUACUACUAUGUUUAUUUAUGUAUCCGGAACUAGAAAUAUAUUGAUGGUAAGUGAAAAAAAAAACAUGAUAUAAGUUACAAAGUUGACAAUUUAUAAAAGAAACAAAAAUAAAAAUUGAAUGAGCUGUGGUGGGAUUAUGGAAGACAUGUGGUUGGGCAGAGAGGUCAUGUCGUCUUCUUUGCUCUCUCUUUCACACCGUUCUACGGAUUGCGAUGUAUAUUUGUAUAUUUUUACGCUUAAACCAAAAC
Molecule: long non-coding RNA, 295 nt
Filed under: Capsella rubella
Lineage: Eukaryota; Viridiplantae; Streptophyta; Magnoliopsida; Brassicales; Brassicaceae
Description: long non-coding RNA (CRUB_LNC003705)
Source: RNAcentral